Long non-coding RNA from Chelonia mydas (Green sea turtle), 159 nucleotides. RefSeq lists it as uncharacterized. The transcript is spliced from 3 exons. The record is from RefSeq and is a predicted model, not a curated record. NCBI's taxonomy places the organism in Eukaryota, Metazoa, Chordata, Testudines, Cheloniidae.
UACAAUGGCAUAUGUCAAGCCUGAAUCCUCACUCUGGAACCUCGAAUGCACGAAGUGGGGGCCCGCAAGGAUUUUAAAAAUUAAUACUUGCCACUCCAGGCUUGUAUUAAACUACCAAGGUUUACAGCUUCUCUCUGACCUUGGCUUGGUAAAUGCUGC